CCCUUAGAUGUCCUGGGCCGCACGCGCGCUACACUGAUGCAUUCAACGAGUUCUACCUUGGCCGAGAGGCCUGGGCAAUCUUUUGAACCUGCAUCGUGAUAGGGAUAGAUUAUUGCAAUUAUUAAUCUUGAACGAGGAAUUCCUAGUAAACGCAGAUCAUCAAUCUGCAUUGAUUACGUCCCUGCCCUUUGUACACACCGCCCGUCGCACCUACCGAUUGAAUGGUCCGGUGAAAUCUCGGGACGGCGGCUUGGUCGCUUGCGUCCGACUGCUGAAACUUGAUUAAACCAUAUCAUUUAGAGGAAGGUGAAGUCGUAACA
Molecule: ribosomal RNA, 320 nt
Filed under: uncultured eukaryote
Lineage: Eukaryota
Description: partial 18S ribosomal RNA
Rfam family: Eukaryotic small subunit ribosomal RNA
Source: RNAcentral